GACGAACGCUGGCGGCGUGCUUAACACAUGCAAGUCGAACGGAAAGGCCCUGCUUUUGUGGGGUGCUCGAGUGGCGAACGGGUGAGUAACACGUGAGUAACCUGCCCUUGACUUUGGGAUAACCUCAGGAAACUGGGGCUAAUACCGGAUAGGAGCUCCUGCUGCAUGGUGGGGGUUGGAAAGUUUCGGCGGUUGGGGAUGGACUCGCGGCUUAUCAGCUUGUUGGUGGGGUAGUGGCUUACCAAGGCUUUGACGGGUAGCCGGCCUGAGAGGGUGACCGGCCACAUUGGGACUGAGAUACGGCCCAGACUCCUACGGGAGGCAGCAGUGGGGAAUAUUGCACAAUGGGCGGAAGCCUGAUGCAGCAACGCCGCGUGCGGGAUGACGGCCUUCGGGUUGUAAACCGCUUUCGCCUGUGACGAAGCGUGAGUGACGGUAAUGGGUAAAGAAGCGCCGGCUAACUACGUG
Molecule: ribosomal RNA, 468 nt
Filed under: uncultured bacterium
Lineage: Bacteria
Description: partial 16S ribosomal RNA
Rfam family: Bacterial small subunit ribosomal RNA
Source: RNAcentral